GAUGAACGCUGGCGGCGUGCCUAAUACAUGCCAGUCGAACGCUGGAAAUCUAGCUUGCUAGCUUGAAGGAGUGGCGAACGGGUGAGUAAUACAUAAGCAACCUACCCACGAAGACUGGGAUAAUCUCUGGAAACGGGGACUAAUACCGGAUAGGUAAUCGGAAGGCAUCUUCUGAUUAUUAAAGGUUAAAAACACUGGUGGAUGGGCUUAUGGCGCAUUAGUUAGUUGGUGAGGUAACGGCCCACCAAGACGAUGAUGCGUAGCCGGCCUGAGAGGGUGAACGGCCACAUUGGGACUGAGACACGGCCCAGACUCCUACGGGAGGCAGCAGUAGGGAAUUUUCGGCAAUGGGGGAAACCCUGACCGAGCAACGCCGCGUGAGUGAUGACGGCCUUCGGGUUGUAAAGCUCUGUUGUAAGGGAAGAACGGUAGAUAGAGAAUAUCUAAAUGACGGUACCUUACCAGAAAGCCACGGCUAACUACGUG
RNAcentral lists this ribosomal RNA (486 nucleotides) under uncultured bacterium. RNAcentral describes it as "partial 16S ribosomal RNA". It matches the Rfam family "Bacterial small subunit ribosomal RNA", at positions 28 to 507 of the family's 1533-position model. The record is from RNAcentral.